UGGCGGACGGGUGAGUAACGCGUGGGUAACCUGCCUCAUACAGGGGGAUAACAGUUAGAAAUGACUGCUAAUACCGCAUAAGACCACAGCACCGCAUGGUGCAGGGGUAAAAACUCCGGUGGUAUGAGAUGGACCCGCGUCUGAUUAGGUAGUUGGUGGGGUAACGGCCUACCAAGCCGACGAUCAGUAGCCGACCUGAGAGGGUGACCGGCCACAUUGGGACGGAGACACGGCCCAA
This 238-nucleotide ribosomal RNA is filed under the name uncultured bacterium. RNAcentral describes it as "partial 16S ribosomal RNA". It matches the Rfam family "Bacterial small subunit ribosomal RNA", at positions 96 to 334 of the family's 1533-position model. The record is from RNAcentral.